RNAcentral lists this long non-coding RNA (216 nucleotides) under Linum usitatissimum (flax). RNAcentral describes it as "long non-coding RNA (LUSI_LNC005057)". Lineage: Eukaryota; Viridiplantae; Streptophyta; Magnoliopsida; Malpighiales; Linaceae. The record is from RNAcentral.
UCCCCCCAACCCCUCUUUCUUCUUACAAGUUGGGAAACAAGAGAAGGACCGUAAAUAGUAACUUAGUAGGAUUGGGAAAUUGGAGGAAAUUGGGAAAUUCGAAUAGAUCUAGAGAGAGAUGAAAUUGAACUUUAGUGGGAUUGGGGAUGAGACUUCUGCUUAUCUAGAGUGUUACCGCCAUCUGUUGGGGCGCAGCGGACGAGAAUAGAGUAAAUA